GCCCCCGUAGCCCAAUCGGCAGAGGCAGACGACUUAAAAUCGUCCGAGUGUGGGUUCGAGUCCCACCGGGGGUA
RNAcentral lists this transfer RNA (74 nucleotides) under Compostimonas suwonensis. RNAcentral's name for it is "Microbacteriaceae bacterium SMC46 tRNA". It matches the Rfam family "tRNA". Rfam says of the family: Transfer RNA (tRNA) molecules are approximately 80 nucleotides in length. Their secondary structure includes four short double-helical elements and three loops (D, anti-codon, and T loops). Lineage: Bacteria; Bacillati; Actinomycetota; Actinomycetes; Micrococcales; Microbacteriaceae. The record is from Rfam by way of RNAcentral.